RNAcentral lists this ribosomal RNA (301 nucleotides) under uncultured bacterium. RNAcentral's name for it is "partial 16S ribosomal RNA". It matches the Rfam family "Bacterial small subunit ribosomal RNA", at positions 509 to 807 of the family's 1533-position model. The record is from RNAcentral.
CAGCAGCCACGGUAAUACGGAGGGGGCUAGCGUUGUUCGGAAUUAUUGGGCGUAAAGGGCGCGUAGGCGGUUUGGCAAGUUUGGUGUGAAAUCUUCGGGCUCAACUCGAAGUCUGCAUCGAAAACUGCCGGGCUUGAAUAUUGGAGAGGCGAGUGGAAUUUCCGGUGUAGCGGUGAAAUGCGUAGAUAUCGGAAGGAACACCUGUGGCGAAAGCGGCUCACUGGACAAUAACUGACGCUGAUGCACGAAAGCUAGGGGAGCAAACAGGAUUAGAGACCCCGGUAGUCCCUGUCUCUUAUAC